RNAcentral lists this ribosomal RNA (465 nucleotides) under uncultured Thiobacillus sp. RNAcentral describes it as "bacterial SSU rRNA". It matches the Rfam family "Bacterial small subunit ribosomal RNA", at positions 916 to 1381 of the family's 1533-position model. Lineage: Bacteria; Pseudomonadati; Pseudomonadota; Betaproteobacteria; Nitrosomonadales; Thiobacillaceae. The record is from RNAcentral.
AGACGGGACCCGCACAAGCGGUGGAUGAUGUGGAUUAAUUCGAUGCAACGCGAAGAACCUUACCUACCCUUGACAUGUCCGGAACUUGCCAGAGAUGGCUUGGUGCCCGAAAGGGAAUCGGAACACAGGUGCUGCAUGGCUGUCGUCAGCUCGUGUCGUGAGAUGUUGGGUUAAGUCCCGCAACGAGCGCAACCCUUAUCAUUAGUUGCUACGCAAGGGCACUCUAAUGAGACUGCCGGUGACAACCGGAGGAAGGUGGGGAUGACGUCAAGUCCUCAUGGCCCUUAUGGGUAGGGCUUCACACGUCAUACAAUGGUCGGUACAGAGGGUUGCCAAGCCGCGAGGCGGAGCCAAUCCCACAAAGCCGAUCGUAGUCCGGAUUGUUCUCUGCAACUCGAGAGCAUGAAGUCGGAAUCGCUAGUAAUCGCAGGUCAGCAUACUGCGGUGAAUACGUUCCCGGGUCUU